CUUCCUUCCCGACAAACACAAAAGAAGCUCUCCCAAAUUGUUUGGUACGCAAGUUGCUUGUCGCUGGUCGGUACAAACCGCGCACUUCAUGCUGGGUUUUGGUUGCGAACAACUCCCUCGCUGUGGUCUGGACUGUCAUCUCCUCCCUACUCCUGUUUCCCUGUGACUAUCAAUGCGAAUGCUGGACGUGGAGCUGACACACUUCCCUCCUCUGCUCCUGUUCCCCUGGGCUAGCUCGCAUUGUGGAAAAGGCCGAGAUCACAGCUGGCUGUCUAUUACAGUUUGACCACUGUUUUCCCCCAUUAGAGUUUCUUUUGGUAUUAGUCAGUGUUAAACUAACAGCACGUCAAAGUUGGUUGUACGGUAUGCUUGUAUGUGUUGGUUUAUUUUCUUUGUGUUGUAUGCUUGUCUGAGUGUGAUACACUGGUGCAUUUACACUGUUUGCCAGGGUCUGUUACACGACCAGGUGUAGUGCUGUUGCCAUCCCUGAGCUCAUAUUAGCAGCCAGUUAGCGAUUUCAGACUGUUACUCCGAGGCUAUUGAGACUUAUCCUUCCCCCCGGCAGUAUUAGUUUUUAAUGGGUUCUUGUAACCCCUGACUUAGCUUAUCCACACGGGAGACUGUUACUCCUGGUGGUAUUAGUUCAUAUUGAGUUCUUUGUGACUCCCAACCUAGUUUCUCCACACAGUAGACUGUUACUCUUGGGCCAUAGGGGUCUAUGUCCCAGGUAGUAUUAGUUCAUUAUAGCUUCUGCUAUUCAUUGUAGCUGUAUCGGUAGCACUCCACUGGCGCUGAAUAGCGUGUUUGUCUUGUUUUUGUUUUGUCUUGUAUUGUUUCCUUUAUUGAAUGCCCCUCCUUCCCCCUGUUUGCUAGUAUGGCCUGCUAGGUCUAUUAGGUAACACAGUUAAGGUACUCUAGGACUGCCGCCUUCCCCUAGUUUGCGGUGAGGGCACAUUCUAGUGGUUGAGCGUGUACUGAACACCUAUUUAUACUCGUGUGGGUUGUAUUUAGAAAGCUUGAGUGUUACACUUGUGUUUGUGUGUGUGUAUGGCCAUAGAUCACUUUUGGGACUGGGCAGCCAUCCGAGGGUUACUGUACCUGUGUUAAUUCAGGCCGUGUAGCAGCCACCAAUCCACUGGGCAUUUAAUUUCUGAUUAUGUGUAUUACAUUUUGUUUUCUUUGAUUAUUUUGUGUUGUGUAUUGUGAUUUUUGUUUUUAUCGGAUUUACCUACUGUACACCCAUG
This is a long non-coding RNA of Alosa sapidissima (American shad), 1244 nucleotides long. RefSeq lists it as uncharacterized. Lineage: Eukaryota; Metazoa; Chordata; Actinopteri; Clupeiformes; Clupeidae. The transcript is spliced from 4 exons. The record is from RefSeq and is a predicted model, not a curated record.